Molecule: non-coding RNA, 27 nt
Filed under: Mus musculus (house mouse)
Lineage: Eukaryota; Metazoa; Chordata; Mammalia; Rodentia; Muridae
Source: RNAcentral
UGAAGCCUGCACUUAAAUAGGGGCCAG